This 69-nucleotide transfer RNA is filed under the name Ictidomys tridecemlineatus (thirteen-lined ground squirrel). RNAcentral's name for it is "Spermophilus tridecemlineatus (thirteen-lined ground squirrel) tRNA". It matches the Rfam family "tRNA". Rfam says of the family: Transfer RNA (tRNA) molecules are approximately 80 nucleotides in length. Their secondary structure includes four short double-helical elements and three loops (D, anti-codon, and T loops). Further hydrogen bonds mediate the characteristic L-shaped molecular structure. tRNAs have two regions of fundamental functional importance: the anti-codon, which is responsible for specific mRNA codon recognition, and the 3' end, to which the tRNAs corresponding amino acid is attached (by aminoacyl-tRNA synthetases). tRNAs cope with the degeneracy of the genetic code in two manners: having more than one tRNA (with a specific anti-codon) for a particular amino acid; and 'wobble' base-pairing, i.e. permitting non-standard base-pairing at the 3rd anti-codon position. The record is from Rfam by way of RNAcentral. Lineage: Eukaryota; Metazoa; Chordata; Mammalia; Rodentia; Sciuridae.
GGGAUUGUGGCUCAGUGGUAGAGUGCUUGCCUCACAUGUGUGAGGCACUGGGUUCAAUCCCCAGUACCA